AACGCUAGCUACAGGCUUAACACAUGCAAGUCGAGGGGAAACGACAUCGAAAGCUUGCUUUUGAUGGGCGUCGACCGGCGCACGGGUGAGUAACGCGUAUCCAACCUGCCCACCACUUGGGGAUAAUCUUGCGAAAGUAAGACUAAUACCCAAUGAUAUCUCUAGAAGACAUCUGAAAGAGAUUAAAGAUUUAUCGGUGAUGGAUGGGGAUGCGUCUGAUUAGCUUGUUGGCGGGGUAACGGCCCACCAAGGCGACGAUCAGUAGGGGUUCUGAGAGGAAGGUCCCCCACAUUGGAACUGAGACACGGUCCAAACUCCUACGGGAGGCAGCAGUGAGGAAUAUUGGUCAAUGGGCGAGAGCCUGAACCAGCCAAGUAGCGUGAAGGAUGAAGGUCCUACGGAUUGUAAACUUCUUUUAUACGGGAAUAAAGUAUCCUACGUGUAGGAUUUUGUAUGUACCGUAUGAAUAAGCAUCGGCUAACUCCGUGCCAGCAGCCGCGGUAAUACGGAGGAUGCGAGCGUUAUCCGGAUUUAUUGGGUUUAAAGGGAGCGUAGGUUGACAUAUAAGUCAGCUGUGAAAGUUUACGGCUCAACCGUGAAAUUGCAGUUGAUACUGUAUGUCUUGAGUGUACAAGAGGUGGGCGGAAUUCGUGGUGUAGCGGUGAAAUGCUUAGAUAUCACGAAGAACUCCGAUUG
RNAcentral lists this ribosomal RNA (696 nucleotides) under uncultured bacterium. Its description in RNAcentral is "bacterial SSU rRNA". It matches the Rfam family "Bacterial small subunit ribosomal RNA", at positions 32 to 715 of the family's 1533-position model. The record is from RNAcentral.